Molecule: long non-coding RNA, 989 nt
Organism: Dunckerocampus dactyliophorus (ringed pipefish)
Lineage: Eukaryota; Metazoa; Chordata; Actinopteri; Syngnathiformes; Syngnathidae
Exons: 3
Source: RefSeq, a predicted model, not a curated record
GCAAACUCCACGACCCGAGUGAGGACAAGCGGCAUAGAAAAUGGUCACUAAAAAUGGAAAAUGGAAAACCAUGGUUGCUAAACCAAUAUUUGUGAUUUAAGUGCGUUCUGUAAAACCGCCAGUAGGUGGCACAUAUCCCUAGUAUAACAGUUCAGAUUGAUAGACAUUUCGUCAUUGAGAAGUGCCUGAAAAAGCAUUGUGACCGGACAGAAGAACCGUCCCGGACUAAGAAGUGUACACAUACAUUGGCGUGAGGAGCCAUUCCAUCGAGUGUGCCUCCUGUGAGCUCCGGUGUUUUUACGGAUGACUGCUGGAGAUACUACCCAGUGAUUGGCUGGCGACCAGUCCAGGGUGUACCCCCACCUCUCGCCCGAAGUCAGCUGGGAUAGGCUCUAGCAUACCCCCGCGACCCUAGUGAGGAUAAGCAGCAUAGAAGAUGGAUGGGUGCUGGAGAUACAGUCAGUCCCUCCAGGAUUUCACAGGCUUUCAUAGCCAUUAUUAUACAUACUUCAUGACUUAUUUUGUAGUGUGGAAUGUUAUAAAAGGCUUGAUCGAUUUGUAUUUGUCAAACAGAGAAGGUUAGUCAGUAACAGUAGGUAUGAGGAAAAUGCACAUUGUCAUGCUUUGUUGACACUGUCGUCCACAAGUUGCAGACAUUCUCCAUGUAUGUUUUACGGUUGAAACUGCUUGUCGAUAAUACACUUAUGUUUAUAUUAAAACUAGGGCUGUGAAAUUAUUGAAAAUUUAAUCUGAUUAAUCAUGGUUUUCAGAUUGAUUAAUCAUGAUUAAUAACCAUGUAACACUGUUACCUUAUAUUACCAUAUCAUAUUAUACUGUAUUAGCUUAUCAUUUUCCUAUGUAUUUUAAUCUAGCAAAGAGUACAUUUUGAAUAAAGGAAGCGAACAAAUGUAUUGCAAUUGAUGUGAAACGGAUAUAAAGAAAUUAAACCAUUAUCAUGUCUGAAAUAUGCCCAUUUUUACUGUAUUCUA